GCGACAGGCCUAACACAUGCAAGUCAGGGGCAGCACAAGGAGCAAUCUGAGGUGGCGACCGGCGCACGGGUGAGUAACACGUAUGCAACCUGCCUGUAAGCGGGGAAUAACCCGUUGAAAGACGGACUAAUACCGCAUAAUACUAAAUUACUGCAUGGUAAUUUAUUUAAACAUUUAUGGCUUACAGAUGGGCAUGCGCAUGAUUAGCUAGUUGGAGAGGUAACGGCUCCCCAAGGCAACGAUCAUUAGGGGUUCUGAGAGGAAGGUCCCCCACACUGGUACUGAGACACGGACCAGACUCCUACGGGAGGCAGCAGUGAGGAAUAUUGGUCAAUGGACGAGAGUCUGAACCAGCCAAGUCGCGUGCAGGAAGAAUGUCCUAUUGGAUUGUAAACUGCUUUUGCAGGGGAAUAAAGUGCAUCACGUGUGAUGUUUUGUAUGUACUCUGCGAAUAAGGAUCGGCUAACUCCGUGCCAGCAGCUGC
This 484-nucleotide ribosomal RNA is filed under the name uncultured bacterium. Its description in RNAcentral is "bacterial SSU rRNA". It matches the Rfam family "Bacterial small subunit ribosomal RNA", at positions 39 to 518 of the family's 1533-position model. The record is from RNAcentral.